This 365-nucleotide ribosomal RNA is filed under the name uncultured eukaryote. RNAcentral's name for it is "partial 18S ribosomal RNA". It matches the Rfam family "Eukaryotic small subunit ribosomal RNA", at positions 592 to 976 of the family's 1831-position model. The record is from RNAcentral.
CAAUAGCGUAUAUUUAAGUUGUUGCAGUUAAAAAGCUCGUAGUCGGAUUUUGGCUGAGAACGAUCGGUCCGCCGUUAGGUGUGCACUGAUUGGUCUCAGCUUCCUGGUGAGGAGGUGUGCUUCACGGCCACUUAGUCACCGUGGUUACUUUGAAAAAAUUAGAGUGUUCAAAGCGGGCUUACGCUUGAAUAUAUUAGCAUGGAAUAACACCAUAGGACUCCUGUCCUAUUUCGUUGGUCUCGGGACGGGAGUAAUGAUUAAGAGGAACAGUUGGGGGCAUUCGUAUUUCAUUGUCAGAGGUGAAAUUCUUGGAUUUAUGAAAGACGAACUUCUGCGAAAGCAUUUGUCAAGGAUGUUUUCAUUAA